Molecule: non-coding RNA, 96 nt
Organism: Acanthosepion pharaonis
Lineage: Eukaryota; Metazoa; Mollusca; Cephalopoda; Sepiida; Sepiidae
Source: the annotation of a GenBank genome assembly
CAUAUCACUUUCAAACAUCAGUUCUCGUACGAUCACCGAAGUUAAGCAAUAUCGAGGCUGGUGAGUACCUAGAUGGGUGAUCACUUUGGAAUACCA